UCCCCGCUGGCGGGCCCGGCGCGGCCCGUGGGCAGGCGCUGGGCUCCCUCGAGCAUCGCCUGGGGGCCGCUCUGGCCGAGCACCCGCUGCACCGCCUCGUGGCGCGCUCUCCCUCAGACUUAUGGCCGCUUCCCGGCUUCUCCUCCGGGUUUAUUCCCGGCUGCAGCUGCCGCCUCGAGACACCCAUUCACACAGCAACACGCAAACCCAUUCUUGCGACUCCAGCGGACCUGAGGAACCCGCACGGAGGUCCAAGUUGCCUAUGAAUACAUUGAAAUGGCCAGAGCUGAGGAGCGAGACCCAUAGCCUGGCCUCAGGUGUUUCCUUCCAGGUAGCACCUAACAGCUUCUAGAACUGACAUGCCAUGAAAUGUACCUUGAAGACUGCUCAUCAAUUCACUCCUUCCUCAUUUUACAGAGGAGGAAAUUGAAACCCAUAUUAAGAGAGGGUGGAGAAAUCUUCCCCUUCCUGGCAGGGCUGGGAACUAGAUCCUGGCUUCCAGAAAACUGGUCCAGGCUCUUUCUCUCACCUUGAGAGAGGCAUUUAAUGGUGGUGGCUUUGAUAUAUCCCCUAGUACAUUUUCAUUGUCUGGAAUUUGAGCUUGUAUUUAUUUAUA
Molecule: long non-coding RNA, 616 nt
Organism: Camelus dromedarius (Arabian camel)
Lineage: Eukaryota; Metazoa; Chordata; Mammalia; Artiodactyla; Camelidae
Exons: 3
Source: RefSeq, a predicted model, not a curated record